GACGAACGCUGGCGGCAUGCCUAAUACAUGCAAGUCGAACGCGGCCAUCCGGUGCUUGCACUGGUGAAGCCGAGUGGCGAACGGGUGAGUAACACGUGAGAAACCUGCCCUGGAGUGGGGAAUAACUCGAAGAAAUUCGAGCUAAUACCGCAUACCUUCUCUUCACCGCAUGGUGAGUUGAAGAAAGAUUUAUCGCUCUAGGAGGGUCUCGCGGCCUAUCAGCUAGUUGGUGAGGUAAUGGCUCACCAAGGCAUCGACGGGUAGCUGGUCUGAGAGGACGAUCAGCCACACUGGGACUGAGACACGGCCCAGACUCCUACGGGAGGCAGCAGUAGGGAAUCUUGCGCAAUGGGCGAAAGCCUGACGCAGCAACGCCGCGUGGAGGAUGAAGGCCUUCGGGUCGUAAACUCCUGUCGAUGGGGACGAACACAAUGACUGUACCCGUUGAGGAAGCCACGGCUAACUCCGUGCCAGCACG
RNAcentral lists this ribosomal RNA (478 nucleotides) under uncultured bacterium. Its description in RNAcentral is "bacterial SSU rRNA". It matches the Rfam family "Bacterial small subunit ribosomal RNA", at positions 28 to 515 of the family's 1533-position model. The record is from RNAcentral.